Molecule: long non-coding RNA, 1276 nt
Organism: Drosophila simulans
Lineage: Eukaryota; Metazoa; Arthropoda; Insecta; Diptera; Drosophilidae
Exons: 3
Source: RefSeq, a predicted model, not a curated record
GGUAUGGCCCCAAAGUUGGCCCAGAACGAUAUUCGCACUCUUCUUCAGCUGUCAGCCGAAUUUGGGUCAAAUUAAUAACGCGUAGUGUGGUCGAGUAAUGCCAAACGGCUGAAACACAUUCGUCGCCGCCGCCAGAAGCACUUUUCAAAAUAAUAAAGAAAGCCAAAAAAAUAGAAAUAAAAUGAAAAACCAAAUUAAACGCUGCCGAGAGCCAAGAUGUCGACAUACUAUUUACAAAAGAACCCAAAAACAAGCUGCCGUGACACUUUCGAUUUCAAUUUCGUUGUAUCUGUGUGGGAUUUUUUUUGCACUUGUAUUUUGCUGGCUGUCUCGGCCGUAUUGUCAGUUAAAAGUUUUUAUUUUUCUUGUGUUUUUUUUUACCCCGUUGUGUAGCUGUGUCGAAGGUAGCGACGACAGGUGCAAAAGUUGGCGACAAAUUUUAAUGAGUUGCAAAAGGCAGCGGGAAAACAUCAAAAUAUCUACUAUAUCCACUUGCAGCGGAACAUCCGAAAACUGCACGUUAUAGAAAAUAAUUAAGUCAAGUGAAAUUAUUUAGCGAAUUUUAAUUAACUGCAAUUAACGGAAACUAAUGAGUCGUGGGAGUAGAAACGACGAAAAUGCCGCUUUAGAUGUUAGAUCUCAAAAUAAGUGCAGAUAGGUUCGCGGAUGCAUCCGCAAUCUGAAACGGCCAGCCGACGCUAAUCUUCAUCAUCCGCAUUCGCAUCGUGAUCAUCGUGUUCGUCAACUGUGUCAGCUAUAGGCAACCAAAAUGCAAUCGGGAUCGAGUCGAAGAGUUUGGGGAAGAAUCAGGGACUCUAGCUGGACCCCGGAGACCUGCGAAGAUGCGGAAGAUCAACACGCAUGGGCCUGGGCAUUAGCCUAUGUGUGUCUGGCUGUCCACUCUGCUGGCCAGCGCCAUGUUCAUUUAAAUCUACAACUUUUGGAGGGACAACUUGACUGCGACUGGAAAUGGGAAUAGGAACGGGAACGGGAAUGGGAAUGGGAAUGGGAAUGGGACUACAACAACAGCAGCGACUGCCAUGUGAGAAAAUUGCGCACUUGAGCAGCCUCGGCCUGAGCUUUUCCCCAGCUGGCUGCGAAAACCUUCGGGGCUGGUCCGGUUCACUGCGAUUGCCUCUUAUAUAAAAUGAAAAUUCCUCUAACAACAAAUGUUUGUCCAUCCACGGGCAAAGGCACAGCCACAUCCUAGUACCUACACUGCAAAAUUACCAUGCCUGCUUUAAUUUUCUAUCAUUUUUAAAUAUUUUUUAAAGAA